RNAcentral lists this long non-coding RNA (1074 nucleotides) under Oryctolagus cuniculus (rabbit). Its description in RNAcentral is "lncRNA (ENSOCUG00000034029.1)". The record is from RNAcentral. Lineage: Eukaryota; Metazoa; Chordata; Mammalia; Lagomorpha; Leporidae.
AUGCACCCUUGCCGGGCCAGAACCAGCACCGGUCACAUAACUGGCAGGGCCCCGAUUCAACAACACCGACAAAUUUCGAGCCCGCAACUAGGCAGCUUGGGCGGUUCUGACAGCCAACCAUGCACGUGGCGAGAACCAGCUGGGGUGAGCCCGGCCCUACUCUCUCUCAUCCCUGCCGGCAUCAGGAUGGAGCUCCCGCCGUGCACCACGCUCCACAGAGGUCCUGAGAGCCGUGCUGGCCCUGCACGGCUCCCCGCACCCCAGUCUCCAACACCCGCCCAGCCCAGAGCGUGGAGGCCCCGAGCCGGAGCUGCACUGCUGCCCGCCAGGCUCCUCCCCCGUGAGCCCGGCGCUGUGGCCUCAAACGCCCUCUUGGGCGUCCCCAGAGCCGAGGGGCACGAAGCCCCAUUGCUUGUUGCUCGUCUGUCCUGGCCCCAGGCCUCUUCCACUCCCGCUGCGGUCACACCCGGGAGGCUGGGAGCCACAGUGCCUCGGCUGAGACACAGGCUCGCCCUGGAAGGCCCCCCCCACCCUCGCCCCCCAGUCCUCGUCUUUUUGUCUCGGUCGCUCGGUUUGGCUCUGGGACGUGAUACAAAAGGAAUUGCAGAAUUGCACAGGAUGUGCUCUCUCUGGUCUGGCUUCUUUCCGCGCCACCCCCCCGGCCCCCCCAGGCCUCUGCCCUGGCGUGGGGAGCUGGGAGCUCCCUGGCCCCGUCCUGCCCCCCCCCCCGCCCCCGCAGAGCUCUGUCCCGACUUCCGGUUUCCUUCGCAGCCCGGGUCAGGGCUCAGAGCGCUCAGCAGGUCACCCUUGGCACUCAGGAGGCUGCACUGCGUCCCGGGAGCCCACCAGCCCCGGUACUGCCCAGGCUGCCAGCCACUGCCAGCCCUGGCCUGGGCACCGCGAGCCAGAGACCACCAGCACUCCUCUUCCAGCUGCUGGCGUGGGGGUGGGUGGGGCUUAGUACAGCCGAGUCCUCCUAUAACCUCUCAGUGCGGGGCCCCAGAGCAGCAGCACCAGCCACGGGAGGCUCAGAAAUGCAAGCGCCUGUUCCCCUCCCCCACCCCCAGGGGCUGA